UCUUUUCCUUUCUUAUAGCAUCCUGUUCUUGUUUUAUGGAUGUACUAUAAUCUUGAAUCUCUCUGAGAUAAUACAGGUAUUUUUAUAUCUCCUUCUAUUCUUUGAAAUAUCUAUUUCAUUUGGGAUUGUUUUUUCCCUUGAUUGCUUAUUUUGGUCUCUUUAUUACAUGUUGCAGUCUAUUCUCAAAGAAAUCCUGAUGAUCCAUGGUUGUUUACUGGUAUUUUUAAAUGUAGCAAUGAAAAUCUGAUUGGAAACUGUGUAUGGGGGCAGUGCUAAGCAACUGGUGAUUUUCCUUUAGGAUAAUUAAAGAAAAGCUGACUGCUGUGCUACAGAGUCCCUGAAUGGCCAGAAUGUUAAGGUCUUUUCUCUGAAAUCGUUCAGUUUCCUUAGAGAAGAACCCUCUGGUUUUGGACUAAUGGGAAGACACCUGGAUGCUUUGAAUUGUACACAGGGGAAUGGAUUGAUGGUUUGAUAUACAGUCUUCCCUGUUUUCAGCCCUACAUCCCACUCCUAACCCUUCAUCAUACUUGGCAUUGUCAAGACCCAAGACUCUCCAGGCUUCUACAAAGAAAGACCAACUCCUUCCUCAGAGACAUCUCCUCCAUACAUACUCCAGGCUAUGGCUCCCUUCACCAUGCUUCAUCAGUCACCAUUUCUCCAUUUACUUCUUAUCUUCCAGAAAUUUGUUGAAAUCUCUUUUGUGGAUGGACCUGCUCCCAUUCUCUUCAUCAUUGUGUUUUUAUACUUUUUUUUAUUCCUUUAUGAUCAUUUUAACAGGAUCUCAGGAGGGAGUGGAGAUAAAUACAUGAUACCUUCCUCCUGGAGCCUCCGUCUUCCUGCUCCAAUUUGGACUGAUUGCUCUGUAGGCCUGCGGCACAGCUGUCAUCAUGGGACGUCCCUUCAUUACUCUUCUGGGUUGGACCCAAUCUUUCUUGGACCCCAUAUCUUCCUCUUUCUUAAUUAUUCCCUUGUAGUGGACAUUGUGGUUAUUUUCCAACAUCCAUUCCACUUCUCCCCCAUUGUAUAACAACUGUGCAAUUUGAGUGGGAUUGACCCCACCAGCAGCUCUAGGUAUAGGCCUUCAUUGAUAUAAACUGAUCUGAGUAAUUUCAUCCCCCAGCUAAGUGAUGAUUGGUUCAGGGAUGAUCCAGUCACAAUGAGGCUUAGGAAUUUUGUUCAGCUUUAGAGGGAAGAGGUAGCCCCUCUUCCCUGUAUAUGAACAAAGAAGCAUGUGGCUUUGUUGCUGCUGUUUGCCAUCUUGUGAACAUGUAGAAGGCUUACCUGAGGAUGGAACUGACAAGUGGAGGAGGCAGAGCCAAGAGAAUCACAAAGAAAUGGAACCAUAUUCCAGAUCGAACCAGACCUGAAGUCUCCCCACCUAUGGACUCCUAAGUUAAGUGAGCCAAUAAAUUGCAUUUACUUUUUAAGCCAGUUUGAGUUGGGUUUUCUAUUGUUUAUACCUGAAAGCAUUUUAUUUUGUUUUUGGUGUCUCCCUUUGGAAAGGAUGAGUGCAGAUUUAGUGAUUUGAGGUAUAUUGUCACAUGGAAGCAUUUUUUCAAAGUGUAAAUAUGGGAGAAAGGAUAUAUGUGGGUGUAGGACAACCAAGUGAACUCUAAUUUUGGCUUAGCAUCUAAAUCUCAUUACCAUUUUGGGGACAUUCCCCCCUAGUGGGAGUCUUGGUCCCCGGAUUUUCUACUAUGGGAACUAAAGGUGGUCAAAUAGUUCCUCUCCCUGCCCAGCAGGCAAUAAGGGCUGAAUACUCUGUUCACAGCUUUCAAUCUGGAGUCAGCAACACACAGAAACCAGAAAUACACAAAUUAACAGAAUGAUAAUAGAUGAAGAGACUAUAUUUGUAAUAUUUUAAAUUGACAGAAGAUUGAUCAAUAAAAAAGGAGAUAGUAAACCCAUCAGGAAAGUGAUCAUAGGAUAUGAAGAGUAAUUUACACAGGUAGAAAUUUGAAUAUAUUAAGAGAUUUUCAACUCUGCUAAUAAUUAGAGAAAUGAGAAUUAAAAUAACAGUGAGAAAUCACUAUAAAAGUGGUAACAUGUAGAAAGUUAAAUAUUAUCAUUUGCUGAUGAGGAAAUGUGAGAAAAAGGACAAUUAUCGAUGGGAGCAUAAACUGGUACAGCUAUUCCAGAGCAGUUUGGCAGUCUCUUACAACAUUAAGUAUGUAUAUACCAUGCAAUCCAGAAAUCCUAUUCCCCAGUAUAUAUUCUAGAGAAAUUCUCACAUAGGUCCUAAGGAAAUAGAAUUGAGGUUGUUUGUUGCAGCAUUGUUUGUGGUAGUAGAAAUUGGAAGCAAUCUAGGUGUCACCAUGGGACUGGAUAAGCAAACUGAAGUAUAUCCAUAGGAUGGAAAAGUAUAAAACAACUAAAAGUAGUAAGCUACAUUUACAUAUAGCUACAUGAGUAGAUCCCCAAACCUAGUGUUGAAUGAAGAAAGCAAGAAACAGUAAGAUUUAUAGCGUAAUAUUUAUAUAAAUGUAAAACAACAGUGUGUAUUUUCAUGGGUAUGCAUAUAUCUAAAUAAACAUAUGGAAGAUGGAUUCAAAGGAUAAACACAUUAAUUACACUGGAGAGGUUCACCACAAUGGACAGGAGAAUGGAAGUGAGCAUGGGAACUGAGGGGGCAAAAUAAUAAAGGAAAAGAACAGCCACAUAAUGCACAAUGAAUCGAUGAUUAUGAUUAACUGAACCCUGAAGUCCACAACAAAGAAGGCAAAGUAACAGAUGCAAGGAUGUAGAGUUCAUGUGCAGUGGCAUAUGAUGGUAGGUAGCAUCAUGUGCACUGGGAGCAGCAGUGGGGGUGGCAGUGGUUGCCUUCCUACAGUAGGACCUUAGCUUUUGUUUCUCCUGCCUAGCCUCUGCCCACUUUCUUAGCCCAAUUCUUUGGACUCCUGUGAGUUACCUGAUAACCUUGCAAUAAAUACCUUUUCUGCUUAAGUUUACCAGCAUUGUUUCCGUUAUUUGCAUCCAAGAAUCCUGACUGAUAGAUCAUGCAUUUUGUUGGAGAAGAAUACUCAAAUAACUUCUUGAGAAAGUUGUACUGCCUGGAGCCAUGACAGCCAUCUUGUGAACAUGAGGAGAUGAGCAUGAGGAUGAAGACAAUACAUUAAAGAAGAAAAAAUUAGAAGGAAUUUGCUUCCCCAUCAGGCAGCUGA
Long non-coding RNA from Urocitellus parryii (Arctic ground squirrel), 3161 nucleotides. RefSeq lists it as uncharacterized. The record is from RefSeq and is a predicted model, not a curated record. Lineage: Eukaryota; Metazoa; Chordata; Mammalia; Rodentia; Sciuridae.